This 253-nucleotide ribosomal RNA is filed under the name uncultured bacterium. Its description in RNAcentral is "partial 16S ribosomal RNA". It matches the Rfam family "Bacterial small subunit ribosomal RNA", at positions 524 to 776 of the family's 1533-position model. The record is from RNAcentral.
UACGUAGGUGGCAAGCGUUGUCCGGAUUUACUGGGCGUAAAGAGCGCGUAGGCGGUCGUUUAAGUUGAAUGUGAAAGCCCCCGGCUUAACUGGGGAGGGUCAUUCGAUACUGAUCGACUUGAAGGCAGGAGAGAGAAGCAGAAUUCCCGGUGUAGUGGUGAAAUGCGUAGAUAUCGGGAGGAACACCAGUGGCGAAGGCGACUACCUGGCCCAUUCUUGACGCUGAGGCGCGAAAGCUAGGGGAGCGAACGGG